CCAGUGAGAUAAAUUGAAACAGCAAGAGAGGAAGAAGAAUUUGUUUCACAUCAGAAUAUGUUUUGUAAAGGCAAGACAUUAUCCCCCAAAUGACUGCAUCCUGUUACAGGAUAUAAUCCCGCUGCAUACAUGGUAUCCACCUAGGCUGUUCCACCAACCCACAAGGCUUGGAGUACCAGGCAACUUAUGAAAACAUGAAGAUUAUGCUGCCUGCUAUGUUCAUCUGCCUUAGAGUGGAAUGGCAUUAUGAGUGCAUUUAAUUGGACCAAAAAGAAAGCUGAGCACUGAAGAAUUGAUGCUUUUAAAUAGCGGUGUUGGAGAAGACUCUUGAGAGUCCUUGGACUGCAAGGAGAUUCAACCAGUCAAUCCUAAAGGAGAUCAGUCCUAAAUAUUCAUUGGAAGGAUUGAUGUUGAAGCUGAAACUCCAAUACUUUGGCCACUCACUCAUUUGAAAAGACCCUGAUGUUGGGAAAGAUUGAAGGCAGGAGGAGAAGGGGACGACAGAGGACAAGAUGGUUGGAUGGCAUCGUCGACUCAAUGGACAUGCAUUUGAGUAAACUCUGGGAGUUGGUGAUGGACAGGGAGGCCUGGUGUGCUGCAGUUCAUGGGGUCGCAAAGAGUAGGACACGACUGAGCGACUGAACUGAAGUGAACUGACUGAAUUUACAAUAUUUAACUAUGUCUGUAUGCUUAAAGCAAAAAAUCAGUCUAGCAAUGUGAGUAAUCUUAUCAACUAUUCCAAGAUCAAAGAAUCCAUACUCUGGAGUGAGCCUGAGAAGGAGACAUUUGAAUCUAUAGUCCUUCAUCUGCUCCCAUUCAUAAAGGCAAACUCUCUUCCGUGAGUGGGAUUUUUCUAGAUCAAGAGAGAACUAUUUAAUAAAACAAAAGACCUACCAAACAAUUGAGGUCCAGGGUAAGACUACAAAUAGAGGCCUGUAAACCAUACUAAAUACUUAAAAGUUAUAAAUCAAGUUAACAAAGAGUUAAACAGAAAACUCCCCUCUGAACCUUGAAAAUUACACCUUCACAUUGAUAAAAGUUAAAAAAUAAAUAUGAGUAGAGCUAUGAUUUUUAUAUGACUUAGAGUUGGCAAGACAUCAAAGACAAAGGAAUUUAAUUAUUAUUAUGCACAUAGGGAUAUCCUGUUUAUGGGCUGGUGGUGUGUGGAUGAGUAAUAAGGUAAAGACAUACACAAUAUACAAAGUAUUAUGCAUUCUUCUUAUAAAAAUAUACUAUUCCUUUUUUCACUAGUAACAGUGUUACAAACAAUAUUUUCACAAAAUUUUUGUUUCAAUAUAGUUUUGCUCUAGCACAAAGUAAAAUAGAAAUAUAUGCUUCAUAUACAAAAAUGUAAAUGAGUAAGCAUGAAAAAAGGAAAAUUAAAGUCAUUUUUAUACAUA
This is a long non-coding RNA of Dama dama (fallow deer), 1400 nucleotides long. RefSeq lists it as uncharacterized. The record is from RefSeq and is a predicted model, not a curated record. NCBI's taxonomy places the organism in Eukaryota, Metazoa, Chordata, Mammalia, Artiodactyla, Cervidae. The transcript has 3 exons.